GUCGAUUGAAGGUGCACGGGUGGAGGUAUAAAUGGAGGAGGCAGGUUUGUAACAAUUUUUUUGUUAAAAGGAAUAGGUAGAGAAGGGGGGAGGGGGCUAAGGAAAGGAUGGUCCCGAGGUAUUGGUGCUACGGCGCACGUGGCGACGGCAGCGGAGGAUACUAAACCCGCUCGAGGCCGCGAGAGGGCGCCGUAUCGAGCGGCCGGGACGAGGGGAAUCACGAGGGCGGCUAGGAGGUGGUGGCGCUGCAGGAAUUGUGGGACGAGCACGGGGACGUAGUUGGAUCAGUGGUGCCCAGCACCAGCGUCGACGACGGGGAGGCCAACCAGCCGAGUGAUGGGGGCGUAGAAGCCUGCGCGCUAGUGACGGUGUCCGACCUACCGCGACAAGGUGGUGUAGAUGGAGCAGAGACCGCGGCCAUCAAAUCACUUUGUGAAGAGGGGAUAAAAUAAUAGGAGAGACCACGAAAUACACCGUACCUAUGGUUCCCAAACAGCAGCACCGCAGCAUCUACUACCGACCUAUAUGGUUAUUGAUGCCGGCGAGAGAGGGUCCCUCCAACGGUACCAGCGGAUGACGGAUGGAGUAGCGAGUGGACCUAAUAGAGGUACUUCUUGCACUGUUAGGAUAAUAAAGGUGAUUAUACAAGGGGGGCUAAAUUGUUGUCCCACCGAAGAUAUUAAGGUAACCUUAAACCAAGGGAUAGAAGAGAUUGGAAGGUGAGCACGAUACCCACCUGGUAAAUGAAAUCAAUUUAAUACCGAUCACAAGAGAAGAAAAACAACAACUUCCUUUGGACUAGGAGAUUAAAACGAUACGUCCAAAGACGACCACUAGAAGACGAAAUCAUCAAGUUUGGUAUCAGCAUAAACAUAUAGGUAUACAUGAAUAAAGAGAUCUACAUAUAGUAUGAGAUCUCACGAUCUAAUGUGACGUCUUGUUUCGUUCAUAAAACGGAGCCUACUGAUAACAGGUGGUUAGAACAAAUAUAGUUACGAACGUAGGAGACUCCGAAUAGUCAUCUCUUAGAUCAAAAGGUACCUUUGUUCCCACUAGUGCGUAAUAAAUAAGUGAGUACAAUGAUUUCGAAGACAGCAGUUCUUCCGUCAUUAUAAGGUUCACGUAUUGAUGAAGAAUAAGUCAUUAUAAUUCGUACUAAUAUGUCUGGAUGUAUAAUUUUUCCAUAUACUUAGUAUCAGAUCUGUAGAGUGUGAACGAUCGUACGCAUUCACACAUACAUUUAAACUAGCUAAACUACCAAAACAAAUUGAAAUCCAUGAAGAUUUAAGAGUAUACAAACAUAAAUAAGCGUAUAAUACUACUUGACGUUAGAAAAAAUCUAGUCUUCCUACGUAGUGUUGUUUUUUACGAAGUGCUCUGAAGAAAAUAAGAGUGGUCAUUAGUCUAACGCGUAAACUACUCACGACGUUCGACCCUUCCAUUUAUACUGGUCUCUACUACCGUCAUGCAGUUACUGCAGUACUAUUAAUUGACAUUGUUGAUGAGACACGGAUACCGAUACGAGACUGAAGCCUUCACGUUUGGUUAUUUUUCUCUCUACUUCGUAUACGUCAAAUGAUAUCGACGUUAACCGUACUUGAUAGAAAUCCUAUACCUCAAUACCUACGGUCCUCUUUGACUACUAAAACCAAAAUCAAUUACUUUCGACUUGUACAGUCAGAUCUACGAGUACACUACUCGAAUCAAUAAAAAGAAAGGAAGUUCCUUCGAAGCUGGACAAAGACAUAUCUCACGUGUACAAAAACAUUUUGUGUACACAUGUUCGACUAUCGCAAGAAACAUUUCGUUGUUACACAAGAAACAUUUUGUUGUAACAACUAAAUUAUAUACUCCAGAAAGAAUGAUAUAAU
RNAcentral lists this ribosomal RNA (1871 nucleotides) under Triticum aestivum (bread wheat). RNAcentral's name for it is "partial small subunit ribosomal RNA". The record is from RNAcentral. Lineage: Eukaryota; Viridiplantae; Streptophyta; Magnoliopsida; Poales; Poaceae.